ACGGGUGAGUAACGCGUGGGAACAUACCCUUUUCUACGGAAUAGCUCUGGGAAACUGGAAUUAAUACCGUAUACGCCCUACGGGGGAAAGAUUUAUCGGGGAAGGAUUGGCCCGCGUUGGAUUAGCUAGUUGGUGGGGUAAAGGCCUACCAAGGCGACGAUCCAUAGCUGGUCUGAGAGGAUGAUCAGCCACAUUGGGACUGAGACACGGCCCAAACUCCUACGGGAGGCAGCAGUGGGGAAUAUUGGACAAUGGGCGCAAGCCUGAUCCAGCCAUGCCGCGUGAGUGAUGAAGGCCUUAGGGUUGUAAAGCUCUUUCACCGAUGAAGAUAAUGACGGUAGUCGGAGAAGAAGCCCCGGCUAACUUCGUGCCAGCAGCCGCGGUAAUACGAAGGGGGCUAGCGUUGUUCGGAAUUACUGGGCGUAAAGCGCACGUAGGCGGAUAUUUAAGUCAGGGGUGAAAUCCCAGAGCUCAACUCUGGAACUGCCCUUGAUACUGGGUAUCUUGAGUAUGGAAGAGGUAAGUGGAAUUGCGAGUGUAGAGGUGAAAUUCGUAGA
This 557-nucleotide ribosomal RNA is filed under the name uncultured bacterium. RNAcentral's name for it is "bacterial SSU rRNA". It matches the Rfam family "Bacterial small subunit ribosomal RNA", at positions 102 to 694 of the family's 1533-position model. The record is from RNAcentral.